AUGGUUCUCGUUGUAGCACCGAUAUUUGUUGGUUGUAGCUCGCUGACAAACCGCGACCGUUCUUCCAGCUCGUCGGGCACGCGGUUCCAUCAUCCCUGUCGUCGGGGGUUUGAGCUUGUCGCAUCGCCAUGGCCCGAUGGUCGUAGCCAUGGAAAUCGAAGAUCGGCGGGCAGGCGAGGUGGGACUGUCGCCGCAAUCGCUCCCAAUAUGGGGUUUGGAGGUGAUGGGUUGGUAUACCCAUGGUCGAGAUCGAGGAAGUGGGUAACGCCGGCGACGGUUGUCCCGCCUCGCCUGCUCCCUUGGAGGGACGAGGAUGGGGUGCUCUCGGUGAAGGAGAGGUAG
This 342-nucleotide ribosomal RNA is filed under the name Triticum aestivum (bread wheat). RNAcentral describes it as "partial small subunit ribosomal RNA". The record is from RNAcentral. Lineage: Eukaryota; Viridiplantae; Streptophyta; Magnoliopsida; Poales; Poaceae.